Molecule: ribosomal RNA, 495 nt
Filed under: uncultured Glomeromycotina
Lineage: Eukaryota; Fungi; Glomeromycota
Description: partial small subunit ribosomal RNA
Rfam family: Eukaryotic small subunit ribosomal RNA
Source: RNAcentral
CCAAUAGCGUAUAUUAAAGUUGUUGCAGUUAAAAAGCUCGUAGUUGAAUUUCGGGGUUCUACCGUUGGUCGGGCUUUGUCUGUACUGGCGUGUAGAAUUUCUACCUUCUGGGGAACCAUCAUAUUAUUAAUUUAACGUGGUGGGAAACCAGGACCUUUACCUUGAAAAAAUUAGAGUGUUCAAAGCAGGCUUGUGUCUGAAUACAUUAGCAUGGAAUAAUAAAAUAGGACGGUGGUCCUGUUUUGUUGGUUUCUGAAUCACCGUAAUGAUUAAUAGGGAUAGUUAGGGGCAUUAGUAUUGAAUUGUCAGGGGUGAAAUUCUUGGAUUUAUUGAAGACUAACUUCUGCGAAAGCAUUUGCCAAGGAUGUUUUCAUUAAUCAAGAAAGAAAGUUAGGGGAUCGAAGACGAUCAGAUACCGUCGUAGUCUUAACCAUAAACUAUGCCGACUAGGGAUCGGACGAUGUUAAUUUUUCUUGACUCGUUCGGCGCCUUACG